This 25-nucleotide unclassified non-coding RNA is filed under the name Mus musculus (house mouse). RNAcentral's name for it is "oocyte_clustered_small_RNA4584". Lineage: Eukaryota; Metazoa; Chordata; Mammalia; Rodentia; Muridae. The record is from RNAcentral.
CAUGGCAAACCAAGGAGCAACCUUG